This 497-nucleotide ribosomal RNA is filed under the name uncultured bacterium. Its description in RNAcentral is "partial 16S ribosomal RNA". It matches the Rfam family "Bacterial small subunit ribosomal RNA", at positions 28 to 507 of the family's 1533-position model. The record is from RNAcentral.
GAUGAACGCUGGCGGCGUGCCUAAUACAUGCAAGUCGAGCGAACGGACGAGAAGCUUGCUUCUCUGAUGUUAGCGGCGGACGGGUGAGUAACACGUGGAUAACCUACCUAUAAGACUGGGAUAACUUCGGGAAACCGUAGCUAAUACCGGCUAAUAUUUUGAACCGCAUUGUUCAAAAGUGAAAGACGGUCUUGCUGUCACUUAUAGAUGGAUCCGCGCUGCAUUAGCUAGUUGGUAAGGUAACGGCUUACCAAGGCAACGAUGCAUAGCCGACCUGAGAGGGUGAUUGGCCACACUGGAACUGAGACACGGUCCAGACUCCUACGGGAGGCAGCAGUAGGGAAUCUUCCGCAAUGGGCGAAAGCCUGACGGAGCAACGCCGCGUGAGUGAUGAAGGUCUUCGGAUCGUAAAACUCUGUUAUUAGGGAAGAACAUAUGUGUAAGUAACUGUGCACAUCUUGACGGUACCUAAUCAGAAAGCCACGGCUAACUACGUG